RNAcentral lists this ribosomal RNA (482 nucleotides) under uncultured bacterium. RNAcentral's name for it is "partial 16S ribosomal RNA". It matches the Rfam family "Bacterial small subunit ribosomal RNA", at positions 28 to 507 of the family's 1533-position model. The record is from RNAcentral.
GACGAACGCUGGCGGCGUGCUUAACACAUGCAAGUCGAACGCUGAAGCUCAGCUUGCUGGGUGGAUGAGUGGCGAACGGGUGAGUAACACGUGAGUAACCUGCCCUCUUCUUUGGGAUAACGCCCGGAAACGGGUGCUAAUACUGGAUAUUCACUGAUUCUCGCAUGGGGGUUGGUGGAAAGGUUUUUUCUGGUGGGGGAUGGGCUCGCGGCCUAUCAGCUUGUUGGUGGGGUGAUGGCCUACCAAGGCUUUGACGGGUAGCCGGCCUGAGAGGAUGACCGGUCACAUUGAGACUGAGAUACGGCCCAGACUCCUACGGGAGGCAGCAGUGGGGGAUAUUGCACAAUGGGCGAAAGCCUGAUGCAGCGACGCCGCGUGAGGGAUGGAGGCCGUCGGGUUGUAAACCUCUUUCGCUCAUGGUCAAGCCGCAGCUUUGGGUUGUGGUGAGGGUAGUGGGUAAAGAAGCGCCGGCUAACUACGUG